RNAcentral lists this ribosomal RNA (546 nucleotides) under uncultured bacterium. RNAcentral describes it as "bacterial SSU rRNA". It matches the Rfam family "Bacterial small subunit ribosomal RNA", at positions 903 to 1450 of the family's 1533-position model. The record is from RNAcentral.
UGAAUUUGACGGGGGGCCCGGCACAAGCGGGUGGGAGCAUGUGGUUUAAUUNGAAGCAACGCGAAGAACCUUACCUACUCUUGACAUCCAGAGAACUUGUGAGAGAUCACUUGGUGCCUUCGGGAACUCUGAGACAGGUGCUGCAUGGCUGUCGUCAGCUCGUGUUGUGAAAUGUUGGGUUAAGUCCCGUAACGAGCGCAACCCUUGUCCUUAGUUGCCAGCAUUUAGUUGGGGACUCUAAGGAGACUGCCGGUGACAAACCGGAGGAAGGCGGGGACGACGUCAAGUCAUCAUGGCCCUUACGAGUAGGGCUACACACGUGCUACAAUGGACAGUACAGACGGUUGCCAACCCGCGAGGGGGAGCUAAUCUGAGAAAGCUGUUCGUAGUCCGGAUUGGAGUCUGCAACUCGACUCCAUGAAGUCGGAAUCGCUAGUAAUCGUGAAUCAGAAUGUCACGGUGAAUACGUUCCCGGGCCUUGUACACACCGCCCGUCACACCAUGGGAGUGGGUUGCUCCAGAAGUAGAUAGCUUAACUUCGGGAGG